Molecule: ribosomal RNA, 253 nt
Filed under: uncultured bacterium
Lineage: Bacteria
Description: partial 16S ribosomal RNA
Rfam family: Bacterial small subunit ribosomal RNA
Source: RNAcentral
UACAGAGGGGGCAAGCGUUGUUCGGAAUUAUUGGGCGUAAAGGGCGCGUAGGCGGCCAUGCGUGUCUUCCGUGAAAUCCCUCGGCUUAACUGAGGACGUGCGGAAGAAACUGCAAGGCUCGAGUCCGGGAGAGGGGGGUGGAAUUCCCAGUGUAGCGGUGAAAUGCGUAGAUAUUGGGAGGAACACCGGUGGCGAAGGCGGCCCCCUGGACCGGUACUGACGCUGAGGCGCGAAAGCGUGGGUAGCAAACGGG